This 170-nucleotide ribosomal RNA is filed under the name Trichoderma koningii. RNAcentral's name for it is "5.8S ribosomal RNA". The stretch from base 53 to 170 matches the Rfam family "5.8S ribosomal RNA", at positions 1 to 118 of the family's 154-position model. From Rfam's summary of the family: 5.8S ribosomal RNA (5.8S rRNA) is a component of the large subunit of the eukaryotic ribosome. The record is from RNAcentral. Lineage: Eukaryota; Fungi; Ascomycota; Sordariomycetes; Hypocreales; Hypocreaceae.
CCUCGCGGACGUUAUUUCUUACAGCUCUGAGCAAAAAUUCAAAAUGAAUCAAAACUUUCAACAACGGAUCUCUUGGUUCUGGCAUCGAUGAAGAACGCAGCGAAAUGCGAUAAGUAAUGUGAAUUGCAGAAUUCAGUGAAUCAUCGAAUCUUUGAACGCACAUUGCGCCC